CCUACGGGUGGCAGCAGUGAGGAAUAUUGGUCAAUGGACGAGAGUCUGAACCAGCAAAGUAGCGUGAAGGAUGACUGCCCUAUGGGUUGUAAACUUCUUUUAUAAAGGAAUAAAACGAGGCACGUGUGCCUUUUUGCAUGUACUUUAUGAAUAAGGAUCGGCUAACUCCGUGCGAGCAGCCGCGGUAAUACGGGGGAUGCAAGCGUUCUCCGGAUCUGUUGGGUGUAAAGGGUGCGUAGGCUGUGGGGUAAGUCAGCGGUGAAAUGCCCCCGCUCAACGGGGUGAAGUGCAAUUGAUACUGCCUUGCUGGAAUGCGAAUGCCGUGGGAGGAAUGUGUGGUGUAGCGGUGAAAUGCAUAGAUAUCACACAGAACACCGAUUGCGAAGGCAUCUCACGAAUCCGCGAUUGACGCUGAUGCACGAAAGCGUGGGUAUCAAACAGGAUUAGAUACCCUAGUAGUC
This 461-nucleotide ribosomal RNA is filed under the name uncultured bacterium. RNAcentral's name for it is "partial 16S ribosomal RNA". It matches the Rfam family "Bacterial small subunit ribosomal RNA", at positions 338 to 795 of the family's 1533-position model. The record is from RNAcentral.